Cucumis sativus (cucumber) is the source of this 646-nucleotide long non-coding RNA. RefSeq lists it as uncharacterized. The record is from RefSeq and is a predicted model, not a curated record. The transcript is spliced from 3 exons. NCBI's taxonomy places the organism in Eukaryota, Viridiplantae, Streptophyta, Magnoliopsida, Cucurbitales, Cucurbitaceae.
UUCUUUUUUUAAUAAGGUUGGAGGAACCUCAAGGUACGUUUUGUUAAAGCAUAUUUUAUAUUGAUAAAUUUGAAGUUGUCAAGUCUAUAACAAUGAUAAUGUUAAUACGAGUAAAUUUAUAGCAAAUUUAGUUGACUUAACUUAUUUACAUGCUGGUUGCUCGGACUCUUGGAAAAACCUUACGUGCAUUUUAACCCACGAUAAGAGAACUUAAGGACGUUUCUAGAGAAUGCAAGACCAUGUUUGAAUGAGAAAUUGGUCUCGAUGAAAUUGAGAGUUCAAUGAACAGCACAUACAAUGCAAGUAAAUCUACCUACUCAAACCCAUCUUCUAUUUCUAAAGCAGAAGGGCUUUCGGUGGCUGAACCAAGUUACAGAAGAGCAACUGAAAGCUUACGAUCAGCUCUAAACCAAUUUUCCAGCACAAAGCCAGAGUGGAUCCCAAGUACAACGGGAAGGUUGUUAAAAUCAAAUCUCUUAUGUCUUAUUUCAUAACUAUUUAGUUUUGAUCUUAACUACAACAAUUUUCAUUUUUUUCUAGGUGAACAUUGUAUGUGCUUAGAAAUUAAGUGUUUUGAAAAUUAGAGGUGAGCAAUCACACUUAGAAACUAAGUGUAGAACCAUAGAAAUGUUACCCCAUCGGUUCU